This 636-nucleotide ribosomal RNA is filed under the name Penicillium toxicarium. RNAcentral describes it as "eukaryotic LSU rRNA". It matches the Rfam family "Eukaryotic large subunit ribosomal RNA", at positions 1 to 649 of the family's 3401-position model. Lineage: Eukaryota; Fungi; Ascomycota; Eurotiomycetes; Eurotiales; Aspergillaceae. The record is from RNAcentral.
GGUUGACCUCGGAUCAGGUAGGGAUACCCGCUGAACUUAAGCAUAUCAAUAAGCGGAGGAAAAGAAACCAACAGGGAUUGCCCCAGUAACGGCGAGUGAAGCGGCAAGAGCUCAAAUUUGAAAGCUGGCCCCCUCGGGGUCCGCAUUGUAAUUUGCAGAGGAUGCUUCGGGAGUGGCCCCCAUCUAAGUGCUCUGGAACGGGCCGUCAUAGAGGGUGAGAAUCCCGUAUGGGAUGGGGUGUCCGCGACCAUGUGAAGCUCCUUCGACGAGUCGAGUUGUUUGGGAAUGCAGCUCUAAAUGGGUGGUAAAUUUCAUCUAAAGCUAAAUAUUGGCCGGAGACCGAUAGCGCACAAGUAGAGUGAUCGAAAGAUGAAAAGCACUUUGAAAAGAGAGUUAAAAAGCACGUGAAAUUGUUGAAAGGGAAGCGCUUGCGACCAGACUCGCCUACGGGGUUCAGCCGGUAUUCGUACCGGUGUACUUCCCCGUGGGCGGGCCAGCGUCGGUUUGGGCGGCCGGUCAAAGGCCCUCGGAAUGUAACGCCUCUCGGGGCGUCUUAUAGCCGAGGGUGCCAUGCGGCCAGCCCGGACCGAGGAACGCGCUUCGGCACGGACGCUGGCAUAAUGGUCGUAAGCGACC